GACGAACGCUGGCGGCGUGCUUAACACAUGCAAGUCGAACGGUGAAGCGAGUGCUUGCACUCGUGGAUCAGUGGCGAACGGGUGAGUAACACGUGAGUAACCUGCCCAUCACUCUGGGAUAAGCACUGGAAACGGUGUCUAAUACUGGAUACGACCAACCCCUGCAUGGGGUGUUGGUGGAAAGAUUUAUCGGUGAUGGAUGGACUCGCGGCCUAUCAGCUUGUUGGCGGGGUAAUGGCCCACCAAGGCGACGACGGGUAGCCGGCCUGAGAGGGUGACCGGCCACACUGGGACUGAGACACGGCCCAGACUCCUACGGGAGGCAGCAGUGGGGAAUAUUGCACAAUGGGCGAAAGCCUGAUGCAGCGACGCCGCGUGAGGGAUGACGGCCUUCGGGUUGUAAACCUCUUUCAGCAGGGAAGAAGCGAAAGUGACGGUACCUGCAGAAGAAGCACCGGCUAACUACGUG
RNAcentral lists this ribosomal RNA (469 nucleotides) under uncultured bacterium. RNAcentral's name for it is "partial 16S ribosomal RNA". It matches the Rfam family "Bacterial small subunit ribosomal RNA", at positions 28 to 507 of the family's 1533-position model. The record is from RNAcentral.